AGAGUUUGAUCCUGGCUCAGAAUCAACGCUGGCGGCGCGCUUAACACAUGCAAGUCGAACGAGAAAGUCCGCAAGGAUGAGUAAAGUGGCGUACGGGUGAGUAACACGUGGAUGAUCCACCUCUUAGUGGGGAAUAACUCUGGGAAACCGGAGCUAAUACCGCAUAAGCCUGUGAGGGGAAAGCGUUGUUGUAAAAGACGACGCGCUGAGAGAGGAGUCCGCGGCCGAUUAGCUAGUUGGUAGGGUAAUGGCCUACCAAGGCGAUGAUCGGUAGCCGGCCUGAGAGGGCACACGGCCACACUGGCACUGAAACACGGGCCAGACUCCUACGGGAGGCAGCAGUGGGGAAUCUUGCACAAUGGGGGCAACCCUGAUGCAACGACGCCGCGUGAACGAUGAAGCCCUUCGGGGUGUAAAGUUCUUUCGGCAGGAACGAUAAUGACGGUACCUGAAGAAGAAGCUGCGGCUAACUACGUGCCAGCAGCCGCGGUAAUACGUAGGCAGCAAGCGUUGUUCGGAGUUACUGGGCGUAAAGAGUGUGUAGGCGGUGCUCUAAGUUUGGUGUGAAAUCUCCCGGCUCAACUGGGAGGGUGCGCCGAAAACUGGAGUGCUUGAGUGCGGGAGAGGAAAGCGGAAUUCCUGGUGUAGCGGUGAAAUGCGUAGAUAUCAGGAGGAACACCUGCGGUGUAGACGGCUUUCUGGGCCAUUACUGACGCUGAGACACGAAAGCGUGGGUAGCAAACAGGAUUAGAUACCCUGGUAGUCC
RNAcentral lists this ribosomal RNA (766 nucleotides) under uncultured bacterium. Its description in RNAcentral is "bacterial SSU rRNA". It matches the Rfam family "Bacterial small subunit ribosomal RNA", at positions 8 to 796 of the family's 1533-position model. The record is from RNAcentral.